AGUGGCAGACGGGUGAGUAAUGUAUAGGAAUCUACCUAGUAGUACGGAAUAAUUGUUGGAAACGGCAACUAAUACCGUAUACGCCCUACGGGGGAAAAAUUUAUUGCUAUUAGAUGAGCCUAUAUUAGAUUAGUUAGUUAGUGAGGUAAAGGCUUACCAAGACAAUGAUCUAUAGCUGAUCUGAGAGGAUGAUCAGCCACACUGGAACUGAGAUACGGUCCAGACUCCUACGGGAGGCAGCAGUGGGGAAUAUUGGACAAUGGGCGAAAGCCUGAUCCAGCCAUGCCGCAUGAGUGAAGAANGUCUUCGGGUUGUAAAGCUCUUUUAGUGAGGAAGANAAUGACGGUACUCACAGAANAAGUCCUGGCUAACUCUGUGNCAGCAGCCGCGGUAAUACNGA
RNAcentral lists this ribosomal RNA (400 nucleotides) under uncultured Wolbachia sp. RNAcentral's name for it is "bacterial SSU rRNA". It matches the Rfam family "Bacterial small subunit ribosomal RNA", at positions 94 to 529 of the family's 1533-position model. The record is from RNAcentral. Lineage: Bacteria; Pseudomonadati; Pseudomonadota; Alphaproteobacteria; Rickettsiales; Anaplasmataceae.